ACUGCAGGAAGCUGCAAGCAUUUUAGAUGACCUUGCAAAGAAAAACUAAAUCAGGUGUCAUGUUCCAAUUCAAAGCCACGAAGCAGUGUGACCCGGGGAGUGGAAAAUGGGACAGAAGAUGGCAAAGAAGAGUCAGUUGAGGAAUAAUGAGAAAAUGUGAAAACUGUAAGCUCAAGUUCAUCCCUGAGCAGAGGAGAAGAGCAAACAGCCUGUGACCCGCACCAGCCUAGGACUGAGGGCAUGGGUGACACUGAAACCAUCUACAAGCAACAAACUCUGUGUUGCAGCAAUGAUGUACAUGAAGUCCAGCUCAUUCCAUAAAAGACACAACCUGUUCAGAAGAUGCUCUGCUGGCAUUCCCACUUGCCAAAUGCAGAUGCUCCAGAUGGGCGGUCAGAUGGGAGCCCACAUGCUGGCCUCCAGACCCACACUCAUUCUGCUGGAUCAUGGAUGAAACAUCAUUGGUGUUCACAACCGAGUGGGACUGUCAGAUUGUUCAGCUGGCACUUACACCCUGUUUUGAGUUCAGGACUGUGUAUCUUUCACAAUGGCAAUCAAGACUCCAAUGCAGAUCCAGAAUCCACCACAUCCUCUGGCAAAUUGUUCCAAUGACUCUAACCUGGAAAGAACCAACUGACUUUUUACCUGACAUUACGUUCCAACCACUAUUUUUGCUUUGCCCUUCUCUGCAAGACCAAAGAGUCCUUCAGCAUCUGGUGUUAUCCCUCUGCCUUCAUGUUACGUAGGACAAUAAAGUCACUCCUCAAUUUUCUUUCUGACAAGCUAGUUGAAGUGACACAUUUCAGUCUCACAUAGCAGUGAUUUUUUUCCUAACCCACUGGCACCUUUACAGGGUUAUAGUUACAUCCAUGUAGGAGACUGUCCUGGAAAGAUUACCAUAGGAAAGAUUAUCCAUCCCCU
Molecule: long non-coding RNA, 921 nt
Filed under: Gallus gallus (chicken)
Lineage: Eukaryota; Metazoa; Chordata; Aves; Galliformes; Phasianidae
Description: long non-coding RNA NONGGAT009137
Source: RNAcentral